This is a long non-coding RNA of Pogoniulus pusillus (Red-fronted tinkerbird), 835 nucleotides long. RefSeq lists it as uncharacterized. Lineage: Eukaryota; Metazoa; Chordata; Aves; Piciformes; Lybiidae. The record is from RefSeq and is a predicted model, not a curated record. The transcript has 2 exons.
UAGAGAUGUCCUUGACUUGCCAAGAAGUUAGCAAAGCAGUCCUGCACCUGCCAUACUGGACAGCAUUCUCCCAACAGAACCCAACAUAAGGCCCACAGUCAUUCGCAAAAGCUUUCCACAUCUUGAGUAAACAGUCUGUGAGACUGAGGAACUAAUUCACCAACAAUGAGCAGUAUUCUUACAUCACAGAAUGUUAGCGGUUGGAAGGGCCCUCAAAAGAUCAUCUACUCCAAACCCUCUGCCACUGCAGGGUUACCUAGAGUAGGUCACACAGGAGGGCAUCCAGGUGAGUUUUGAAUGUCUCCGUAGAAGGAGACUCCACAACCUCUCUGGGCAGCCUGUUCCAGUAUUCUCUCACCUUUACACUGUACAGAAUUUUUUCCUUAUGUUUACAUGGAGCCUGCUACGCUCCAGCUUGCACCUCCUUGUCCUACCAUUGUAUAGCUUCAGCUGGGAAUGCUACAACACUGCAAUAAAGGGCAACUGAGAAGACUUCUGAGAUUCUCUGCCCUUUGCGUUUCUCGAAUUCCCUUGCUAGAGCAGCAAUGGGGUUUGUGCCUCAUUCAUCACCCAAAUGGCCCUUGCAUUAAGAGGUUACAACAGGUACCUUUGUUCCUGUAAGUUGUUAUCCCUCUACCUUAAAAUGGAUCUGGAAUUGUAUACACUUAAUUUCAGAAUUUUUUUUUUAAAGCAACACCUUAUUGAUGGGAUUCUGAGACCUCAGGAAACUUAGUAUUUAAAAGGUUAACAUCUACUUUUUAUUCUUGCAUUAUAUGCAGAAAAUACACCAGAACAAUGCUGUGUUAAUAAAGACAAGCUUAAAAGCUGCUUCAAA